AUACUUAGUUAAUAAUAAGGUAAAGAUCGUAUUCCGAUUGUUUGGCGUGCAUUUGAAAAUUGGUCAACAAUUUAUAACCGCAAACGAAUUUUCUGGUCAGUUGUAUUUUCGAGAAAAAGAGAUCUGCAGUACUUAUAUCAUAGCUAACUACUAAAGUUACUGGACGUGUUUAAACAAUUAUUCCGAAAACACGUUUUUUUUUGUUUGCAUCAGGAAUCAUACAAUAUCAACGUUUUAUAAACAAGAGGAAGAAGUCAAGUUUGUUCUUGUCAAGAAAAUCAAUUUAAACUCUUAGGUCAUUUUUAAUUUGAUGUAUGAUGAAUAAUAUUACACAAGACCUACUUGUGUCUUUCAAAAAUUUUGGAGAGCUUGUGAUUUUGUCUACAAAAUUAUUCAUAGACUAUAAUAGAUUUAUAAUUAAUAGUGUAAUUCGUUGUCCUGAUAAAGAAGACAUGAACGAAGAAACUGAGGAAUCAAAAAAUAAGCAGCAUGAAUUGAAAAGAAGAUUAGAGAUUGCAGUAGAGAUGCAGGCAAAUAUUUUAGAGAUUGCAAACAAACUUAUCAGAAGUUUAGAAGAGUUGCAAGAGUUGCUAAGAGAAUUUGUAAUUGAGAUUACCAAACAUAAAUCCUCCUAUGGUGAGGUGAUUGUUCAGACUUUUGAAACAUUACCAGAGGAUAAAAAACUUGCUUGCUUUAUCGCUUUCAUGGAUACAAUUGAGAAGUUUCGACAAGAAUAGCAUGGAAGUUUUAGAAAUAGGUCAGAGCUUAUAUACAAAUUAAAUACUUAUGAUAUGCUAAUAUCGUUAAAUGCAAAAUAAAUGUUUCAAAAUUUUUGCAGUAAGAUAUUGAGUACACACAUAAAGAAAGGAAUUCAAAACAAGUAUAAGAUGUUUAAGUACAACAAGUCCAACAAGUAAUAGCAAUCAUUAACAGUGUUUAAACUGUAAAUAACAAAAUUGUGUUUUGUUGUGUAAACAACUAAUAAGAUAAAAUAUCCUGUUAAUUUUUUUUUAAUGAGUGAUCAAUGCACUCAGGACAUUUUAAGUAAUUCAUUGUAUAACUUUUUUGUUAGAAUAACAGUAAGUAAAAAUGUAAAAACACUAUGAUGUAUAUAAUAAUUUUUAAAAUAUAAUGUUGGUAUUAAAUCAUAUUUAAAUGCAAAUUGCAAAAAGACUGUGAAAACUUAGAUGUUUUUUUUAAACAUUUAAAUUAAUCUUGAAUAAGAUGUAUAUUAAUUAAAAAUAAGGAUACUUUUGCUUA
Molecule: long non-coding RNA, 1260 nt
Organism: Nasonia vitripennis (jewel wasp)
Lineage: Eukaryota; Metazoa; Arthropoda; Insecta; Hymenoptera; Pteromalidae
Exons: 3
Source: RefSeq, a predicted model, not a curated record